RNAcentral lists this long non-coding RNA (296 nucleotides) under Elaeis guineensis (African oil palm). RNAcentral's name for it is "long non-coding RNA (EGUI_LNC061297)". Lineage: Eukaryota; Viridiplantae; Streptophyta; Magnoliopsida; Arecales; Arecaceae. The record is from RNAcentral.
UCUUCCUCUAACCUUAUGCUCUGAUAUCAAUUGUUGGGGCACCUUUCCAAGGUUGUGGACUUUUGGAACCAGCAAAAAUUAAUGAGGAUUGGGCUUUUGGAUGGCCAAGAUCAGCAACACAAAAUUAGCCUUAUAGAUUUCAGCAGUCUUGUAAAUCCUAUCGGUAGGAUUUUUUUUCUCCAAUUCGAACCCUUUCUCUUUCAGAUCUGAAAUUUUUUUUUUCAAAUCUAGAAGCACCCUUGAUAAGGCCUCCAAAAAGCAAAAGAUGGAGAUGUGGAACAGCCCUUGGGCGGCCA